UACGAAGGGUGCAAACGUUAUUCGGAAUUACUGGGCGUAAAGCGUGCGCAGGCGGUUGGUUAAGUCUGAUGUGAAAGCCCCGGGCUCAACCUGGGAAUGGCAUUGGAAACUGGCUGGCUAGAGUGUGGCAGAGGGGGGUGGAAUUCCGCGUGUAGCAGUGAAAUGCGUAGAGAUGCGGAGGAACACCGAUGGCGAAGGCAGCCCCCUGGGCUGACACUGACGCUCAGGCACGAAAGCGUGGGGAGCAAACAGG
Molecule: ribosomal RNA, 253 nt
Filed under: uncultured bacterium
Lineage: Bacteria
Description: partial 16S ribosomal RNA
Rfam family: Bacterial small subunit ribosomal RNA
Source: RNAcentral